Molecule: long non-coding RNA, 3325 nt
Organism: Hemicordylus capensis (graceful crag lizard)
Lineage: Eukaryota; Metazoa; Chordata; Lepidosauria; Squamata; Cordylidae
Exons: 3
Source: RefSeq, a predicted model, not a curated record
CGGGCCGCGGGGAAGGGGAGGGGGGGCUCCCUCGGCGCCCUGCAGACAAUACAGCCGGGUCCCUCCUGCCCAGAACCUGCCCUGGCCAAGAUGGCGGCCGAGAAAGAGCGGAAGUGACGCGGGGCUCUCAUUAGCAUAUGGGACUCAUUGUCCGGCCGGAGAGGAGGGGGACCCUGACUCCCCAGGGGAGUGAGGGAAGGGGGGUGAGUGACUGAACCCCAACUGUGGAACUUGCUUUCCCGUCGUCCCCCACUCCCCUCCUGCCGUGGCAGGAAGCGGGCCCUUUAAAAGGAGGUGGAGGGGAGCGGGUUACAUAACCCCGUUAGAAUGGGGGGAUUCUCGCGAGAAAGGGACCCGGCGGCGGGAUCUGCCCCGGCUCCGCUAGGAGGCGCCGCGCCCUGCGGUUGGGGCCGAAGAGAGGGAUGCGACGCCGCCCGUUUAUCCCUCCGCCGCCCCCGGCCGGCACUACAUCCUUCCCUGAGGGGGGAGGGGGUCACCAUGCCUGGGGGGUGGAGAAGAGCUUGGAGUGAGUUCUUCGCCCACGUGAUCUGAUAGUGAGCACAACACGUGACCCGAGUUUCACCUGGAAAUCCACAGCUCCUACAACGUCCAAUGCUGAAAUAGUUCCAAAAACUAUGGUCCAGAUAAAGAACCUGCAUGGUCAAUAGCUGACAUCUUGACUAAAUUACUAGACAAAGUCCAAUGAAAUGUAGUGGUCCUCCUGAGUUCCAGAUUUACCCAAAUACAAGACGACUCUGAACUUGAGAAGAGACCCUUAAAAAUUAUAGAUUAAAUACAGGUUAUACCCUUAUUUACCCAAAAGAAAGAGGACUCUGAAUUUAUGAUGACCCUGAUUUCUAACAUGAAAGAACUUGGCGGGAAACUGGUCUUGGAUCCAGAAUUCAGGGCAGUAUACAUUUUCACUACAUUUUAUCUUCACAACAACCCUGUGAUAUUGGUUUGAGAGCGACUGAUCCAAGGUAAUCCAAGUGAACUUCAUGGUUGAUUGAGAAUCUGAACACAGAUCUCAGUGAAAAUCCUAAAAGAUAGCUAGCCCAUCACUACUGUCUCCCCCUUUAAUAUGGAAUUCCAGGAGAUCAUUGGAUGCAUUACAUGGCACACUUUCCUCAGAAUCACAGCGCACAAAGGAACUAGAUUGACCUUUCAGACAGCCAGUUCUGCAUCAGGGAGGUCACCUGCCUUGGGACACGAAGAUGGUCUAAAUGAACUAGAUCCCUUCCAACCCUGCUGUGUCAUUGAAUACGGAAAAAAUGCUAUUUAGACAAAAAAGAUAGCAUACUCCUAGCAUACUCCUUUCUUUGGCUGCUGUUGCCACUGUUAUCUCAACUGCAUGUGCCCCUCAAUUAAAUCUUAGAACCGAAUGGAAAUUUUAUUUCCUAAUAUCAUUUUUCAUAAUACAUACACAGAGAUAGAAGACAAAGACUGUAAUCCACAAUUCAUUUACUCUGGAUACAUCUCAGGAAGUAAUUAAGAACUGUGAUCAGAACUAUGGCAUUUGAGGAAAGAGUGUCCUUAAGGCAUUCUACAGUGGGAACAUUGUUCGGUAGCAGACCCAGCCUUGGUACUUCAACAUUUAGCCGAGAAAUAUAUAGGAAAGUCAAAUUCUACAUUUAUACGCUGCGUUCGUAGAUUUUAAAUAUGCAUUUGAUCUAAUCUCAAGGGAAAUACUGUGGGGAAAAUUGGUAAAUCUUCCAUCGAUAGGCAGUUGUUACUCUCAAUAAUUAAGAUGCAUGAAAAUUCAAGAAUAAGGGUGUGUUUUAGUAACAAAGGGCAUCUUACAAAUGAAAUCAGAACAAGUAGGGGAGUCAGGCAGGGGUGUAUUUUGGCCCCAAUGUUAUUCAAUUUCUAUAUUAAUAACUUACUUACUCAGAUGAAUAACAAGGCUUUUCACCCCCCUAAGUUGGCUAAUAGACACUUGAAUAUACUCCUAUAUGCGGUUGACGCAGUGAUUUUAUCACGGACCCCAAUUGGCCUUAAGAGAGCUCUUAAUGCUUUAGUGUCCUACUGUGAUUCACAGGCAGUCACCAUCAAUUAUGAAAAGACUAAGGUGAUGGCUUUUGCCAACAAACCUAAGAAGUGGUGGUGGAUGUUGAAUGGACAUAGACUUGAAAAGGUAUCACAGUUUAAGUAUUUGGGUAUAGUCUUCCAGGCCAAUACUAGGAGGAAUACGCACAAGGAAUAUAUAAUGCAAAAUGCCUCGAGGGCAGCAGCAGCUAUUAACUCCUUUCAUAGGAGGCAAGGUGCACAGUUUGUUCCAGCUGCCCUUAAACUUUUUUCGGCCAAAGUCUGGCCUUUACUCCUUUACGGAGUGCAGCUAGGUAUCUAUUCCAACCUUGCCAGGCUGGAGGCAAUCCAAUCAAAGUUUUUGAGAAGUGUGCUUCAACUACCCCGGGGUGUCCCCAGUGCAUUUCUGUGACUGGAAGUAGGCUGGAUUCGGGUGGAGGCAAGUGUUUGACUGGUAAUAUUUGAAUAUUGGCUGAAGCUGAUUUUUCAGCCAGUAGGACUAGCACCCCUAGUGUUGAGUGAUACAUAUAAGUCUAGGUGGAAAUGUUAUGCGGAGAAGGGGUUGAGUUACUAUGGCUUCUCCAGCGAUAUUUUGGUUGUCUUGGGCUAUGGGAGAGCAAGAUCAUGUCUGCGCCAAUGCAUUAUGGAUAUGAAGAAACAGAUGGACAGAAGCCAGAUAGGGGCUGACACCUAUUUAGGUAAUCAAACAUCACUGUCUGGCCCAGCAAGAUACCUUAACAAAAUAUUAGUACCUAGUUUCCGGAGGGCUCUGACGCUGGCCCAGUGUAAUGCCUUAGAAACGGCUGUCCUGGAGGGGAGAUAUUGCAAGAUCCCCUAUAAGGAGCGUGUCUGCCCUUGUGGUUCUGGGGAAGUGGAGUCAAUGGCCCAUGUUAUCUUGAACUGUCAGUUUUCUCGAACUUUGUGGGAGAGAUAUAUAAGUCCUUUUUUAACAGCAUACCCCAGUUGUUCUGAACAGUUCUAUCUGGAAUUACUUUUGACAGACCAUUGGGAUGUAGUAUCUUACAACGUGGCGAAGUACUGUUUUCUGGCUAAUAAGACUAGGAUAAGAAAUGAUGAGACGUGAAAUAUGGGGUUGGAUUGAAUUAAAUUAUUACAAUGCAUGGAGCCCUCUGUUUUAUGUAAUGGAUGAACUUGGCUGUUAUGGUUCUAUUUUAUGUUUCAACAGUUUAUUAUUUUAUUUGACCAAGUUCAUUUUUAUGUAAAGCUCGCUUUUAUGUAAAGCUUUUGUACUUUGUGUUUUGCUGGUCGAAUGACCGUAACAAUAAAGAUGAUGAUGAGU